Molecule: ribosomal RNA, 365 nt
Filed under: Escherichia coli
Lineage: Bacteria; Pseudomonadati; Pseudomonadota; Gammaproteobacteria; Enterobacterales; Enterobacteriaceae
Description: bacterial SSU rRNA
Rfam family: Bacterial small subunit ribosomal RNA
Source: RNAcentral
AAAUUGAAGAGUUUGAUCAUGGCUCAGAUUGAACGCUGGCGGCAGGCCUAACACAUGCAAGUCGAACGGUAACAGGAAGCAGCUUGCUGCUUCGCUGACGAGUGGCGGACGGGUGAGUAAUGUCUGGGAAACUGCCUGAUGGAGGGGGAUAACUACUGGAAACGGUAGCUAAUACCGCAUAACGUCGCAAGACCAAAGAGGGGGACCUUCGGGCCUCUUGCCAUCGGAUGUGCCCAGAUGGGAUUAGCUAGUAGGUGGGGUAACGGCUCACCUAGGCGACGAUCCCUAGCUGGUCUGAGAGGAUGACCAGCCACACUGGAACUGAGACACGGUCCAGACUCCUACGGGAGGCAGCAGUGGGGAAU